UUUGCUGUUGAUUGUGAAUUGUUCACCUUUCUCUUGUUGUCCACUGCUCAUGCAAGCAACAGUGGACAACAGGAUAAUGGCGUUCAAUAAGCAAACCACUCGGCCUGUAAC
RNAcentral lists this microRNA precursor (111 nucleotides) under Tetranychus urticae (two-spotted spider mite). RNAcentral's name for it is "microRNA tur-mir-5735 precursor". Lineage: Eukaryota; Metazoa; Arthropoda; Arachnida; Trombidiformes; Tetranychidae. The record is from miRBase by way of RNAcentral.